GAAGUUGAACGAGAGCAUGCCCCACCCAGUCAUCUAUAUCGAUUUCCUGGUUAACAUGACUAAGGACAUCGAUGCUCACCUCGUCAAGGCUUAAGCCCUACGAAAGAAGAGGAGAAGGAUCUAUGAUGUUUGCUUGUGUUUCGAUUAUCCAAAUAAACAAGCAUAAAUAAAUACGGAGUGAUCGGCAUACUUUGUGCUGAACACUCUGAUCUAUUAUCGAGUCUCUCUCCCUCUCUCUUGAAUUUACCCUCUCUUUUGUUUGUGAUUAUUCGUUACUUUGAUUAAGGGUUUGCCGAUGAUAGAUUAGAUUAAAAAACAAUUAACUAUAAGCAUUUCGACAGUUUAAUUAAUGUUAAGAUAGCAUGAGUUUUUCUAUAUAACUAUAAAAACAAAGUGAAGCUGUUAUUUGACCAGACUCUCCAAACCUUCAAAGGGGUUCAGUCCACAUGUCGAUUAUGCAAUAUCAGCUCAAGAAAUACUUAUCCUAAUGUUGUAAAACUUCCGGGGUCUUAGUUUCUCCAUUAAAGGACGUUGGGAAACCGAUCAAAAUUAACUGAGGAGUACAUUAAAACAAAAUUUGCAUGGUUUAGAUGAUGGAACCUAAGUUGAUGAGGAGAGCAAGAAUUCAUUACGAAACAAACGAUACAAUAUAGAAAUUAAGAUUACUCAANNNNNNNNNNNNNNNNNNNNNNNNNNNNNNNNNNNNNNNNNNNNNNNNNNNNNNNNNNNNNNNNNNNNNNNNNNNNNNNNNNNNNNNNNNNNNNNNNNNNNNNNNNNNNNNNNNNNNNNNNNNNNNNNNNNNNNNNNNNNNNNNNNNNNNNNNNNNNNNNNCAUGCAAAUUAAUAUCAUCCCAAUCAUUAAUAACGUGGAUACCAUUAUUGGACAGUUGUUGAUACCUAAAUUUUGACGACUGCCACAUUUAGUUCUUUAUUACAUAAGAAAAUUAGCAGUUGAUCUGAUUCAACAAAAAUAUAAAUUCACUUGAUUUGCAUGUGCAUUACAUUUAGGAUUCGUACCGCAAUGAUAAAAUUUAGAACUGAUACGUACAUGAGUCACAUGUCAUGCACAUGCACCAAGCUGCUGCAGAAGUCCAAGCCAUGAGUGGAGAUCAAAGUAGGGUCGGUGAAAAGAAAGAAAAAAAAGAAAUAAGGAGCGUCUGCGCUUUAUUCUAUUCAACAUAAAGUACUCAUUGAGAAGAGAAGACGCGGGAUACUCAACACGGAGGGGGACAUACAAAGGUGUGGUGUUUCUGUUUUGCAAGUCACCCGAGAGUCCCUGCUAAACUUUCCAGCCGAGAACCACUCCAUGAGCGAAUCUAAGUGAAGCCACCGUCGACCGCCAUCGCAAUCCCAGUGUCCCUAGAUCUUAAUCCGGAUAUCGUCAUUCAAAUUAGGUAACAAUCUUUACCCAAAUUGAUUUGACUAUUAAAUUGCUAAUUUUGGUGUGAUUUUGUUAUCUAAUUGCCAUAUAUGAGAUUUUAGACAUCAUCCAAUAUUAGGGCAUUAUUAACUAUUGGGAUUCGCCCUAAUGGACACUCUUCCAAUAUGAAAGGGGGAGGUGAGGGGUUCAAAUCCCCAUAUUCUCAGGGGGAUUGGAUGGGGAUGCAUAAGUUUCAGGAAUGGGUUUCGACUCCCACGCCCUGCAAGAGGCAGGGCAAAAGUCUGAGAGUGAAUAGAAUAUGAUUGGCAAAAAAAAAAAAUUAGGGCAUUAUUGAUGAUAGUGAAUUCAAUUAUUAAUUUGAUCCGUAAAUGUUUUGGAUCAUUUUUUAAUUAAUUUGACUUGAUAUUGGAUAAUUAUUAUGCCUAAAAAUUGUGAUAAUCAUUAAUUUAACUUGUUAGAUGAUAUGUUAUUUUUAAAAUUAUCUCAAUAUUUUAAUUUGAAAUUUCGUUGGAUUGCAAGUGUCGAUUAGUUGAUAGUCUAUGUUUAAUUCAGACGACUACCAUAUUCUGAAAAUACCCAAAAGAACAUCAUUUUAGAAUGGAUUAGAUGUCUUUUCGUAGUUCAAAUUGCAUGCUUAAAUUAGGGCAUAUUUAAUUACGAAUUUUAAUAGAAAUACCAAAAAUAUCAUGUGCAUGUCAAAUAGUUUUAAUUGUGUUAUUAUUUACUAUGCCAUGUGAUGUGCAUGUCAUAUAGGUUUUUUUUAGUGGCAUCAUCAUUAUGCCACAUGGUAUGCUAUGUCAUCCAUACAUGCCAUGUCAUCCGUGCCAUGUCAUUGAUUGCAUGUCAUUUAGACAUUGCAUGUUUAGGUUCAUCUAGAAUGCAUGUCAUGUUAGAACACUUGCAUUGAAACUUAGAUUGACAUUACAUAGAUGAAUAAAAUGCCGAAAAAGAGUUAAUUAGAAUUGCAUAAACAAUUAGAGUUAAUGUUUAGGUUAGGCAUGCGCGUUCUUUUGAUAAACACUUGACAAAAAAUUAGGAAUUGAUUACCAUGCUUUGCUUGCUUUAAGGUAUUUUAAUUUCUUCCCUAUUUUUGCAAUUUAUUUGUUGCUUUGAUUAUUGAUUGUUUUUUUAAUGACUGAUCACUCGUAUAAUAAUCUUACAAGUUAGAGGAUAGGUUAAAAAUGCAUUUGAGCUGCUUGCUACAUAAUUUUUUGAUAAGAAGAACCAUACCGAAAAUGCAUUAGAGACAAUUAGUAUAAUUAAUUCCUCGUACUCAUAAUCUCUAGUCACGUAGGAAGUGGGUACACUUAUAUGCCUCAUUUGAUUUUUAAUUAACUUCGAUAGGUUAGUGGCGACUUCUCAUUUAAAUAUUCUCAUAAUGUUAAUCUGACUUAAUCUAGAAUAUUCCAACGUCGUAUGGGAUAUAUGGGCUUGGGAGAGCCCAUGCCUAAUCGAAUGCUGCAUUUCUUUUACAUAACGCAUCGCCACCAUUGUCUCCUUAUUCAAGGGCGCUUGCAAGAUCCACACCCUACAAAUUUAACAUCUCCACACAAGAGGAGGUCGCUACUUCAACUAACCUUCAAUCUGGGUUGCCUAAGGCUGGCGACUUCGAAUGAGAGAGAGAGAGAGAGAGAGAGAGAGAGAGAGAGAGAGAGAGAGAGAGGUGCGAGUAGGGGUGAGUAAGGUGAUGCUUCCGUUUCGUUCUAUUUUUACGUUAUACCAAAGCAAACCGCAUAAAAGCUGUCAGACAAUGUUGCUAGUCGAAUAUUGCUUCGUUCGAGAGUUCAUAAAUAAAGAUACCCCCAAAUUAUCAUUUUCAAUGUAGUUUCAGGAAAAGAAGUUUGAUGUGGCAUGUCAUGAAUUGAAAAAGGAAUACAAAAACUCGGGAAUGACUGUUCGUGUGCUGGAGAAGAAAGAUUCAAUUAAAUGUCUGUAUCAGAUAUAUUCACUCAUAAUAUAUGUUUAUGAACCAACACUUUCUUCCACCAUCUUUUCUUUACGCUACUUGCGGAAGACUUUAGUUUGUUGAGAGAGUACAAGGUUUGAACAAAAAUGAAACGAAACCAAGCAAAACCUAUAGUAAUUUAGAACAAAACUGAAUUAGAUCAUUUUUUACGGUUCGGUUAAGUUCAGUUUUGGAAUCGAACUAAAUCGUUUGUUCUAUCUUAUAGUGUUUUGUCCUCAUCUUUUUUCGGUAAUACUAUGAUCUUAAUUCACUAAAAAUAGUAGAGAGAGAGAGAGAGAGAGAGAGAGAGAGAGAGAGAGAGAGAGAGGACUAAAUUAUUGUAGAAACCAAACUUCAUGCUCAGACCAAUUCAUAAGUUCACAUCUAAACUGCUUCACAUUUAAAAUGAAAUGUUACUUCUCAUGCAAUGGUAAAUAUAGUAAAAUAGUAGGAGGUAGUACAAUACAGUUUUGUUUUACUGUUUUUUUUUUUGGGUGAAAGGUGAGAAUAUAUUGAGCUUUAACCAAAAAAUACAAAAGAUCCGACACCACAACUUGCACUCAACAAGACAACAAGUCAGGGUGAGUGGAAGGGAGCCGAAUGCAAAAGAGGACCGCAAGAGCGGGCCUAAGUAAGCAAGACAGCCACAUAAGGCAAAAGGCAACAGAAGGCCACGAAAGGCCAAGAGAACCACAAACUACGCAUACAUCCAGUAGCGACAAAAGUGAAGAACCGUCAAGGAAGCAGCCGUGUAGAUGAAGAGUAUCCAAACAGCAAACACCGGCCUAGGGCCCUGCAGAAGUAGAAUAGUCCCUAGCUGAAAAAAUGAUUGGAUCAAUACCCCAGCUACGCUAUAGCCUCCGGUUUCUAUAUGUAUCAUCCACAUUCCUGUAGGUGGUGGCCUUGUCUCUGAUGACCUUGAUGAGUUGAUUCUUCACCUCUGGGAUGGAUAAGCUUUGCUCUCGAAAUAGGAUGCUAUUUCUGUGCUUCCAUAUGUAGUAACAAAGAGCACCAAAAGAGAAGCGAGCAAUGCACUUAUAAAAGUCUUUACCCAUAAGGAAAGUGGCGGCCCAAUUGGGGUUCUCGACCCAUGAAUUGUUUCGCCACGGAAGAUUGCACCUGGAGGCCCAAAAGAAGGCGAUGCUAGCGGAGAUGCGGCAGCCAAAAAAUAGGUGGUCUAUAGAAUCCGGUACCUCAUUGCAGAAUGGACACAAGGCACUAUCUAUCCUACCAUAAGAUAAUAAUAGAGCUUGGGUAGGAAGCCUGCGUUUGGCAAUAAGCCAAAGGUUAAAUUGGUACCUUGAAGUGAUGGAGUUGUUCCAAAUGAAUGUGUGCCAGGAGACCUGAGUCUUCCUCCUCCUAAUCAAAUCCCACGCCGAAGCCACCGUAAAGAGAUGGGAGGUAUUUCCCUUCCAGCCGAAACGAUCGGAAGAGUGGGAGAGGGUGGGAAGGGGAUCCGCCCAAGAGUCCAAGACCCUCUUAAUCAUAGCUCCACAAUUAGUGAAUAGGUCCGUCACUAUCGCCUGCCUAGGAAGGCCGAAUGCAUAUAUGGCAGAGUCCGAAAAGUACAAGUUCAAAGGGCCCCUGGGGUGCCAGUUAUCAAACCAGAGGGAUACCGAGCAACCAUUCCCAAUUCUCCAAUAGAAAGAGCUUCGACACUCAGUCCUGAGUUGGAGGAUCUUCUUCCAGGCCCACGAACAGCAGGUUGGCUUUUUGGCCACCCAGAAAUUCGCCCUUCUUAAGAAGGUCGAGUGAAUUCAUUUGCACCAUAAAGAUUCCUUAUCGGCAAACAGAAUCCAUAUAUGUUUUAACAUGGCGGCCUUGUUAUACUCCCGAAGCCUUCGGAUCCCAAGGCCCCCCUCGUCUUUUGGGCAACAAACGUCCUCCCAGGAGACCUUUGCACCCCCUCUUCCCAACUCCGGGCCUUUCCAUAGGAAUUGUCUAAGUAUUCGUUCAAUUUGAUCCAAGAUAGCUGCAGGUAAGAUAAAAAUACUAGCCCAAUAUGCUUGGAUGGCAUGAAGGACUGACCUGAUCAAUUGUAGCCGACCGGCGAAGGAGAGGAAGCGAUGGGUCCAAGAUUGUAUUCUCGCAGUGAUGCGGUUGACUAGCACGCAGCAAUCCGCCUUGCUGAUCCGGGAAGUGAUGAUGGGAACCUCGAGAUAGCGAGCCGGUAGUCUUCCUUCUAGGAAACCAAGGGUAAGAAGGAUUUGGUUUCUUAAAGAAGGUGAACCUCCUGCAAGGUAGACUUCGCUCUUAUUUGUGUUUGAAACCAAUCCAGACCAAUCAGAAAAUAUUUGGAGACCUUCCUUGAAUAGCUUCACCGAAGGCAAGUCGGCUUCACAAAACAAGAAGACGUCAUCCGCAAAGAAUAAGUGUGUAAGGUUAGUCGAUUUGCAUCUCCAGUAAUAUUUGAACUCCGGCCUUGAAGAGCGAGUGGUGAGAAUACCUGAUAGUACCUCCAUGACCAAUGUAAAUAGGUAGGGAGAUAGAGGGUCUCCCUGACGAAGCCCACGACCACUGGCAAAAAACCCAUGUAACUCCCCAUUCAAAGCAAUGGAAAAUUUAGGGGUCCUCACACACGUCAUGAUGAGCCGGGUCAAGUGAUUAGGGAAUCCGAAGGCCUGAAGGACAGUCUCAAUGAAGUCCCAGUCGACUGUGUCAUAGACUUUUCUGAAGUCUACCUUGAUUGCACAUUUAGGUAAGUAAGGUUGGAUGUGAAAGCCAGAAAAGAGUUCCUGAGCCAGUAGGAUAUUAUCUCUGAAUCGCCGGCCUUUAACAAAUGCGCUCUGGGAAGGGCCGAUGACAUUUUGUAGGAUUGCAGCAACUCGAUUAGCCAUGACUUUAGUGAUGCACUUGUAGAUGGUAUUACAACAGGUGAUUGGCCUGUAAUCAUCCACAGUAGUCGCAUUCGGGGUUUUUGGUACAAGGACCAAUAUGGUGUUGUUAAUCUCCUUUAAGAGCCUACCCGAAAUGAAGAACUCCUUCACUGCCGAUAUAACCAACUGACCCACCGUCUCCUAGUUAUGCUUAAAGAAUUCAACUGUGAAACCAUCAGGUCCAGGUGCUUUUCCUCUAGCUAGCGAGAAAACCGUAUCACGGAUCUCUGAGUCAAAAACGGGCCAAUCAAGGAAGCUAACCUGGUCAGAGGUGAGGGGAAACUGGAUAGCCUCCCUGAUAUCCCCAACCGAGGGUCUCCCAUGACUAAGCCGUGGCGACAAAAGAUCCUGGUAGUGUCUAACAAAUGCUGAUGAACAAGCUCCCGGUUCAGUGAUUUGGAAACCCGACGCAUCCAUAACCGAAAGAAUUCUAUUUCUUAUUUGCCUUUUUUUGACAUAAUGAUGAAAGAAUUUGGUGUUGCGGUCUCCCUCCUCUAGCCAUUUAACUCUGGACUUCUGCCUGAAAAAUGAUUCUUCUUUAGAGCGCAAGUCCAAGAAAGUGCACCGCUGAGACUUUUCCAAUUCUGCAAGGGCAACAGAGUACGGGUCUUGCUGAAGGUCAAGUUGAGUAGUCCGGAGCACAGCCCUCGCUUCAGAAGUCCUGAUGGAUAUGUUGGAGUAGGAUUCAUUAUUGAGAUUCUUGAGGCGACCUUUGAGGGCCUUGAGCUUGCACACCAGUCUGAACAUGGGCACUCCCUCAUCCGGCAUCCCCCAAACUUUGUUGACAAUUAGAAUGAAGUCAGGAUGAUCCAUCCAAAAGUCGAAGAAUUUGAAAGGUUUUCUUCGAUGGACUGGAUUUAAAACUUUGACCACCAUAAGGGAGUGGUCAGAUAUACCUGGUGUAAGGAAGGAAGCUUCCGAGAAGGAAAAGACCUGGCACCAUUUGGAAUUGACUAGGACUCUAUCAAUCUUCCUUGCCUUCUGCAAAAUACCAGAAGAGGUAGUCCAUGUAAACCGACAUCCAACAUACCUCAAAUCAUCUAACUCAGCCAUAGAUAAGCACUGUCUAAAAUCAUCAAAGCAUGGUAUCCAUCUAUCUGAUCCCCCAAGUCUAUCAGACGGGUCUUUGAUAGCGUUGAAAUCACCCGCGACUAACCAAGGUGAAUCCUGUAGAGCUGCACUUUUCAUGAUAAGGUUUUCCCAGAGUGGUCUCCUGGAAGUGAAAGUGUGCAGCCCAUAUACGAUCGAUAUAUAACGUGCUAUAUCCGAAGAGAGCAUCUUAAGAUUCCCAUGGAUCACUUAGGCAUCUACUGAAGACACUUCAAAGCUUAUAAUCGACGGAUUCCAUCCAAUCCAAAUCCUCCCUCUGGGAGCACAACUAUAAUUUGAAAUCCAACUUCAAUCCCUUAUCAGACUCGAAGAGAUAGAAGAGAACAUGGCUUCCGGUACUUUCGUCUCCAAAAGGCCAACAAAGCAAAGUCUAUUUGAGGAAACCAAACUACGAACCUCAGCUUGUCUAGAAGGGUCCAUUAGACCCCUAAUAUUCCAGAUACCUAUGUACAUAGCAAUAUAUAUAAGAUGAGGGGCCAGAAAUGGUUACCUUGGCUUCGGAGGUUUCCGGCGAGCGGAAGCCGAAACCAUAGGAGUCGUGGCAGGAGGAGGAUCAUGAAGUAGAGUUAGCAGCUUGUCCUGCAUCGUCACCACUCUUUUGGAGGCAGCCCUCGAGGACGUAUCCACCUCCAACAAAUCCUCAUCUUCAUAGCUAGACGAGACAUCCGAUUCGACACCUCUAACUUGCUGUUCGAAGGGCCUGGAGUUAGUUGGUUCGGGGCUAGACAGGGGUAGGACCACCUUCAAAGGAGUGGUCAUUCCCUUUGACGGCUUGUGUGAGGAUACGGGAGGCUCAGGUUUACCCGAAGCUGAGGUCUUCGCAGCACAUUGGAUGCCCUCAUUACCGGAGCUAUUAUGGUGGGACGUGGAACCUUCCUUAGGGGGGGGGCAGCCUUCUUCUUCUUCUUCUUCCCUUUUACCUGAUUCCAGUCUUGGUGAGGCACAACCUCCACUUCGGCUUCAACCGGUGAUUGAAGGACCUGCUCUAUCUCAUGCUGCUGCUCUUCGGGAUCCACCACCGGGACAGGUACAUGAGACUGGACAGGGGGUGUCGGGUCAGGGGCAUGAGACGGUCCAGCCCCCGUCGAUGGAGGAGCAUUCUGGCUCCUUUGCACAGGUCUACCUGGUCUGGUAUUUGGUGGUGGGGCAUCGCAAUUGUGACCGAAGCAGCCACAUCUUCCGCACUCCAUCGGCUUCCACUCAUACACAAUGGCUAUCGAGCGAACCACUCCUUCCAAUACCACGUCUACAGAAUUACUCCUUGGCUGACCCGCAUGGAGCUCCACACACACCCUUGCGAAGGAGAUCAUCUUCCUCUGCUCCGUUCGCUCAUCCACAUAAAGUGGUUUCCCCACGACAAUUGCUAUAGCACUAAUAGAAUGUGCCGACCAAAGUUCAAAGGGGAGGUUCUUCAAUCUAAUCUAGACGGAGAUGGAUUCUUGUUUUUCCUUUUUUAGCUCCAUAAGGGGCUUCCAUUGCUUCAAGAUAAGGGGCACCCUUGCAACCGUAAGGGGGCCAUCUUCUAGGAUUUUCCUUCGGAAGGUCGGGUCCGGGAUAUGGAAGUAGUAAAAUUCUUGGUCAUCCGCCAAAACUUCAACAAGUUUGGGGCCCCAAGUAAACUUCAAUGAAUUUUCCGUGAGCUUAUAGGGUAGCGUUCUCCCUACAUAGUAGCCAACGAGGUACUAGUUCCACACAGGGUCCGAAGCCUCCAUAGCCUCUUCCGAGAGACGGACGAUGGGCUUGUUGUCCACAAAAGUAGGUGGGAUAUAGGAUAGAUCGUAUCCUUUUGCAGCAAGGCGAGCCACACUCGCCCAUGAGCGAGCCGGAGUUGUUUUUGGAUUACUUGAUUGCUGAACAGGCGGCUGUGGUCUCUUGGAAGAGGACCGGCCACGCUGUGACCUCUCGAUUGGCCCGAGCGGGUUGAGGAGAUCAACCACCCUUUCUGCUUGACAUCCGAACCAGCGUGGGUUACUGUGCUAGGAAUUUCCUGAUCUGGAAGCCCCUGGGAUGAGCUACCAUGAACACGAGAGGUGGGGCUUCAUCCCCUUGAAGUGCCAGCAGGUUGCUGGGAUUCUCGGCCAGGGCCAAUCACACCAGAAGAAACAGCAGCCAUUUCCACAAACACCUGGUGUGCAAUACAAAUCCUACCAACGAAAAGCCAUUGGAUGAAGGAGACUUACCAGGUCCAAGCUUCAAUGGCACAAUGUGGGAUAGCAGGAGGAAAGAACCCAACGCAGCAAUCACCUUGCAAGACACUUCAACCACAACAGACUCUCGAAAUCACAGCAGUAGAGAUCAAGAGGCUGAAAUGGCGAGACCUGGACUUCCAGACCAUCUGCUGGGAAAUGGUUCAGUGGGGAAGGUAAGGGAAGCAAAGUGACCUCAGCCUCCAAAAUGAGCUCAAGCCGACCACCGUAACCACCACAUCCACCAAAACCCGUCGGAUGAGCAGGAACCGAGGGAACAGAAACAGCGAGAUCUGAACUUUAGGCCACCUGCUGCAAAAACGGUUCGGUGGGGAUGAAGAGGGAUGCAAGGAGAUCUCACCCUCCAAGUUUGAGCUCAAUACGACCACAGGAACUCUCUUAGCAGCCGAAACACCAGUUCGCAGCUCGGAACUCGCGCACACACCUAAGGAAGGGGAGAUCUCGAGUUGCAGGACGACCCACUGGAAUUCCUUUGGUGGAGAUCAAGAGGAAGGUCGGAGGGACCUGUCCUCCAAAUUUGAGCCCAAACCGACCGCUAGAACUCCGGGAAUGAUCGAGAGAGUGUUCUAGUUUUGUUUUACUGUUCGUUUCCAAGAAAAAAGAAAAAAAAGAAAAAAGAAAAAAAAAAGGGAUCUAAACAAACUUUGAUUUGGUUCAGUUUCUGAUUUGAACCGUUUUUUGAUGAACGGUUUGGUUCGGUUUUGGGGAAAUGUCCUUAGGAGAAUGCAAAUAUUUUUGAGGUAAAGGGGUUUUCCGAAAUGUUGGAUUGUUUAGUAAACUAUAAUUGAAAAGUGUUUAGGGAAAUGCAAGAUUGUUUGGUAAACAUAUAUUUGAAAAGCCCUUUAACGUGACCAAAUUAAGUUUUUUAGUUUUAAUAUUUUUAAAAUUGCAAAAAGAAAGAAAAGACAUGACUAUAUAACCUUUUAUAUUUUCAUGUUGAGAGUAAUGUAAAAGAUGAUAUUCGUAAAUUUAUUUAAAAAUUAUAGUAAAGAAUUUGAUUAUAAACUCGAUGCAAAGCUCAACUUUUUGGCCUAGAGUUCUUUUAGGUUUGUUUUCAACUCUGCAUAAUUUUUUUAAAUUAUUGUAGUAUUCAUCAUCUUUGUUAAUUAAUGAUCAUUCUAGUGUAUUGAUAAAAAGUUGGGCUAUAGAUCGUCAAGAGAUAAAAAUGACAAAAAAAGAAGAAGGAAGGUGAACCUAACAUUUGCAAAGGGUUUUUAUUAUUUUUUUAAAAAAUAAAAAUAAAAUCAGAUGAAACUUUGUCGCCUAUCAACGGCGGUUGGGGUAUGGGGAAGAUGAUUAGUUUAAAAAAGAAGAAGAAGAAGUCAACAGAUGAAUAGUAGAUGUGAACUUGUAUUUCCGAAAUGUUGAAAGCCCAAAGCAGGUCCCCACCUGCUUUGGGCUUUCAACAUUUCAAAUGCCAACAUUUGGCCAAGGACAUCUCCAAAUGCUGAACCAAACAUUUAAAUUUUUUCCCAAGGGGCUUUCAAGGCUGAAAGCCCUUUGGAAUGCUGAAUCAAACGGGGUAUGGACUAGGAGGAAUGAGGGGAAGUUGGUUAAAGAAGGAGAGACUAAAGUUAAAUGCUCCCUCUCAAAUUAAAUUCAAUAAAAUAUACGUUCUAAUACUGAUUUUAGAGGAUCAUAAUCCUUCCUUAGGAGAUCACAUCAUGUUCAUGCAUUACGAUGUAAGCCCAUUUCGGUAAAAAAAAAAAAAAUCACAAGAGAAAAUUAGCCUUUAUUUUUGUAACAUCUGGCGGUCUAGUUUAAUUCCAUUGAUCAUUUGGUCUCGCACGAGAUUUGAGAGACCGAUAGUUCUCUUCUUGUUGAGCUUUACAUAAAUGUGCGAAUCAAUGUAGCUGUCGGUCAAAUCGAUAUGGCAAUUCGAUUGAAGGAACUUUGAGUUUGCCUUAUAUCAACCCUUCCUCGGGAGAUGAAUGAUGUUCAUUCUUUUUUUUUUCUUUUUUUUUCCCCUUGGGCAAUGACGGGUAGUUCAUCAACUUUCGCUGUUUGUUCGAUGUCAUUCCUGAUUUUUUUUUCAUUAUCCUUGAACUUAUAUAAUUCAGUUCAGGGUAAUUUUUCUAUAAAGUUCAUGACUCAUUUUUUUCUUUUCCGAAAUUCAAUACAUGUACUUUAUUUAUUUGCACAAUUUACUCUCUCUCUCUCUCUCUCUCUCUCUCUCUCUCUCUCUCUCUCUCUCUCUCUCUCUCUCUCUCUCUCUCUCUCUCUCUCUCACUUUUGUUUUUCCGGAAUUCAAUCCGUGUACUUUAUUUAUUUGCACAAUUCUCUCUCUCUCUCUACGUGUGCACGUGGUAGACCUUGCCUGAGGUUAUACUCAUUGGCAAAUCAUGUUCUUGUGUCACAGUUGUGACAUGCCAAAUUUAAGUUUACCCUCUAAAUGAAAAGCUUAUUUGUUUCACAAUAUUAUAACUCAUUUUGAAUCUUGUAUAUACAAAGCGUUUAGUUAUAUGCUUACAUUUUCAUAUUCUUUGGGCCAAAAAGCAAAUAUAUCAAUCAGCAAAUAUAUACUAAAGUUUUGAGGUCUUGCAAUUGAUUUAGUUUGUUGAAAUCCAACUAGUUAGUGCGAUUUUUUCCAUUUCCCUAAGAAAGAAAGAAAUGUUAUUGUUAGAAUAGUUAAAUUUUAAAUAACACCUUCUUGUAAUAACUUAAAUUUUUUAAACAAUAGGCAAUAGUUCCCCAAAAUUUCAUAUGAUACUACAACAAGAGAUCUUACAAAAUCUUAUAUAAUAUUAGAGUAGAAGGUCUUCGUUCAAAUUUUUGUAGGCCUUUAUUUGUAUUUCCAAUUACGUAUUUUCAUGCUUUAAAUUUAGACCAAGAUCCUAUGCAUGAGGUUGAACGUUGGAAUAUUUAAAUAUUAAACCAUACCUUCAUUUACAACUUGAUAUCCAUUUUAUAUCCACGUCGUGGAACCUAUAGAUGAGUUCUAGAUAAGGCUCACAAUUUUUUAUUUUCUUUUGAAUAAUUCAACAAUGAGUCAGUUGAAGCAACUGUGCCCAGAUUAAAUCAUCCAAAUGAUUCUAACGCGCAACUGCAUCAUAUUAGGUUAGCUUUAAAGUGACUGCUGUUGAUUUUGCAAUACUUAAUAAUAACAUAAAUAGUAACAUUGACCCAUGCUAUUCAUUAGACACGUGCUAAGAAAGGGGUUGAGAGUAAUGUUGGAGAUGACACCGACAUGUGUGGAGGGAAAAGAAAUUGGGGGUAUGGCUAUGGCUAGAUCUACCCCAUUUCAAGUAUUCAUUAAAAGAUUGUCAUGGAGCCAAUGAAAAUAAACCAGUAAAAGACUUGCCCGCCAUGUCAUAUUCACACCUCACAAACCCACUCUUCUUCUCAGCCACUUCCCUCUCCUUUGAUCGUCUCCUUCCUUGGUUCGUCGUCGUCCGUGGCAGAGGUUGGUCGCUAUUGAUGAUGGAGAAGCCCAAGAUAACGUAAGAAGAGCUCUCCAACUAAGUAAGCACAUUGUAAAACCAAGAGCUAAAAAUACUACAAAUAGGUCUCCCCAUUUAAUAAGAAACACAAACCCAAUAAAUUUAAUAGAACGUUGGUCAAAUCACCACUAAUAUUUACUUCUAACGAGAAUGAAGAAGGCAAAUAACUAAUUCUCCUAAUCACAUCAAACAAAGAAAUUAUGCUCAACAUAUAUAAGAUCUUAUGUACUUACUUAGUGAUUAGUACAUUGUGAAAUAAAGCUACUUGCUUUUGUUGUUCAUCUUCCCCACCGGUAGAAUGAAUGAUUCUAUAUGAAGCAAACCCAUUUUACGUGAUUCAUGAAAUUUCCAUGCAUAACUCCAACCACUUUAUAUCAAUGGACCCACAUUUUGUCGAGACAAAAUGAAAGAAAUUUGUUAGUGGGCCCACAAGAGACCUGUGUCGCGCGGUGAGUGGAUUAGUAGUUUGUUAAAUUGACAUAUCUUUUGUAUUUAAAAUUUUCUUCUAAGUACUGCCUGCAUUCCUCAAUUUGACUGGGCAAAAUAAAUGGGAGAUCCAACAAAAGCAAACCCUUCAAGGCUUUCAAUAGUUGGUCAAAUCACUACUAAUAUUUACUACUAACAAGAAUGAAGAAGGCGAAUAACCAAUUCUCCUAAUCACAUUAAACAAAGAAAUUAUGCUCAAUAUAUAUAAGAUCUUAUGUACUUACUUAGUGAUUAGUAAAUUGUGAAAUAAAGCUACUUGCUUUUGUUGUUCAUCUUCCCCACCGAUAGAAUGAAUGAUUCUAUAUGAAGCAAACCCAUUACACGUGAUUCACGAAAAUUCCUAUGCACAACUCCAACCACUUUAUAUCAAUGGACUCAAUUUGUCGAGACAAAAGGAGAGAAAUUUAACAGUGGGCCCACAAGAGACAUGUGUCGCACGGUGAGUGGAUUAGUAGUUUGUUAAAUUGACACAUCUUUUGUAUUUAAAAUUUUCUCCUAAGUACUGCCUGCAUUCCUCAAUUUGAUUGGGCAAAAUAAAUGGGAGAUCCAACGAAAGCAAACCCUUCAAGGCUUUCAAUAAUUGGUCAAAUCACUACCAAUAUUUACUACUAACGAGAAUGAAGAAGGCGAAUAACAAAUUCUCCUAAUCACAUCAACCAAAGAAAUUAUGCUCAACAUAUAUAAGAUCUUAUGUACUUACUUAGUGAUUAGUACAUUAUGAAAUAAAGCUACUUGCUUUUGUUGUUCAUCUUCCCCACCGAUAGAAUGAAUGAUUCUAUAUGAAGCAAACCCAUUACACGUGAUUCACGAAGUUCCUAUGCACAACUCCAAUCACUUUAUAUCAAUGGACCCACAUUUUGUCCAGACAAAAAGAGAGAAAUUCGACAGUGGGCCCACAAGAGACAUGUGUCGCACGGUGAGUGGAUUAGUAGUUUGUUAAAUUGACACAUCUUUUGUAUUUAAAAUUUUCUCCUAAGUACUGCCUGCAUUCUUCAAUUUGAUUGGGCAAAAUAAAUGGGAGAUCCAACGAAAGCAAACCCUUUAAGGCUUUCAAUAAUUGGUCAAAUCACCACUAAUAUUUACUACUAACGAGAAUGAAGAAGGCGAAUAACCAAUUCUCCUAAUCACAUCAAACAAAGAAAUUAUGCUCAACAUUUAUAAGAUCUUAUGUACUUACUUAGUGAUUAGUAUAUUGUGAAAUAAAGCUACUUGCUUUUGUUGUUCAUCUUCCCCACCGAUAGUAUGAAUGAUUCUAUAUGAAGCAAACCCGUUACAUGUGAUUCACGAAGUUCCUAUACACAACUCCAACCACUUUAUAUCAAUGGACCCACAAUUUGUCGAGACAAAAUGAGAGAAAUUUGAUAGUGGGCCCACAAGAGACAUGUGUCGCACAGUGAGUGGAUUAGUAGUUUGUUAAAUUGACACAUCUUUUUGUAUUUAAAAUUUUUCCUAAGUACUGCCUGCAUUCCUCAAUUUGAAUGGGCAAAAUAAAUGGGAGAUCCAACGAAAGCAAACUCUUCAAGGCUUUCAAUAGUUGGUCAAAUCACUACUAAUAUUUACUACUAAUGAGAAUGAAGAAGGCGAAUAACAAAUUCUCCUAAUCACAUCAAACAAAGAAAUUAUGCUCAACAUAUAUAAGAUGUUAUGUACUUACUUAAUGAUUAGUACAUUGUGAAAUAAAGCUACUUGCUUUUGUUGUUCAUCUUCCCCACUGAUAGAAUGAAUGAUUCUAUAUGAAGCAAACCCAUUACACAUGAUUCACGAAGUUCCUAUGCACAACUCCAACCACUUUAUUUCAACGGACCCAUAUUUUGUCGAGACAAAAGGAGAGAAAUUUGAUAGUGGGCCCACAAGACAUGUGUUGCGCGGUGAGUGAAUUAGUAGUUUGUUAAAUUGACACAUCUUUUGUAUUUAAAAUUUUCUCCUAAGUACUGCAUGCAUUCCUCAAUUUGAUUGGGUAAAAUAAAUGGGAGAUCCAACGAAAGCAAACCCUUCAAGGCUUUCAAUACUACCGAAUACUCAAGAAAGAUCUUGAGUGAGAGGUAAAGCUAGUUAGGGUUAUUGAGUAAAAGAACAGAGAAGAUGACUCUAGCGGGGACACUGAAGACCGAGUUGGAGCUCAAGUCACCAGCUGACAAGUACUUCAAAGGUAUCAGCAGCAAACUCCAACACGCCCCGAACGCUUCCUCCGAAAAGGUUCACGCCAUCGAAGUACAUGAAGGUGAUUGGGAAGCUCCUGGAUCGGUCAAGCUCUGGACUUACACAAUCAGUAAGCAGUCAUCAGGAGAGAGCAUUCUUAAUUAUUUUGGAAUACCUUUCAAUUUGUUUUUCCUUUUGUCGCGUAAAAAAGUGUGUCGAUGAGAAGGAGGAGGUAUUCAAGGAGAAGAUCGAGGUUGACGAGGCAAAGAAGUCGGCGACGUUUGUUGCCGUGGCUGGACACUUGCUGGAGAAGUACAAGAGCUACAAGGUCACCCUCCACAUUGUCCCGAAGGGCGAGGCCUCGGUGGCGAAGAUCACCCUUGACUUUGAGAAGCACCAUGAGAGCCAUGAAGACCCAAAGGACUACAUGGAGUUUGUGAUCGGCCUCGCUAAGGACAUCGAUGAGCACCUUGCCGGUCAGGCUGAUUGAGUUAAAAGGGGAUAAUCCACCUUCUCUGAUUAUGUUGUAAGUAAAAUAUUGCAAACUGAAUUUUCUUACCUUUCACCAAAAAAAAUAUUGCAAACUGAGCUUCCAAUUGUGAGACAAUGAACAAGUGAUGCAUAUCCAUUUGCAACAUUUCGACCGCCUAAUUACUGUUAAGAUAGCAUGAGUUUGUCUAAAUUGCCAUAGAAAUUCCAGUGAAGCUGCUAUUUGACCAGUCUCAUCAUACUUUCGGAUGGGUUCAGUCCACAUGUUUUGUCGAUCAUGCAAUAUGAACUCAAAAAGUACUUAUUUUUAUGUUGUAGAAAUUUAUGGUUCUUAGAUUCUCCACUAUGAAGUCAGGAAUCCGAUCGAAACCAAAUGAGUAAUUUAAACACAUGAUUUGGGUAGUUCAAAUGGUGGGAAGUAAAUCUUAGAGAGAAGCGAGAUUCAUUAUGUGACAAGCGGUAUGAUAUUGAUACCAACUUGAUUAAAUCACCGAAAAGCACUUUUAUAUUUCCAAAGGCGUGGUUAUAUCCAAGAAUCUCACUAAUAAGUCUUACAAGAAUUCUUACUAAGUGAAAUGUUAAUGCUACCAUUUAUUGUAGGAUGUAUCUUUAGCUAUGCAAAUGCCGUAACCAAAAUGAGUUUUCAAAAUCAAACAAAAUAUCGUUUAAUCACUUUUGUUUUACUCAAAAGAUUUAUUUGAAACUUUAGAUUCAAAUCUUGAAAUCUCAUUUUGGUUACGGCAUUUGCAUAGCUAAUGAUAAAUCCUACAAUCAAUGGUCACACAGUUUUGUUGCUCAUCACACAAUGUCCUGUACGGUGUACAAAUUAUGCUGCAGAGUGCUUACGCUUCUAGAAUAAGAUGUUACAACUUAAUUGCAAAUGACAACCAAAGUCAAAAGCUUAUAAUUUAUUUCUUCAUAUUCGAUUGGUCACUCCGCUACUCUUCCUAUUUCUCUUAUGAUAUUCAACACAUUGUUGGAUGUACGUUGCCAAAUUGCCACUAAGCCUGAUCACCACAACACCCCACAACUCUAUCUGUCUAUCGCUCUCUCUUCGUUGCCCCUGUCAAAGAGGGGUUCAGCAGCGUCAAGGAUGAUGACGGUAUGCUUAAAAGUCAAGAGGUGGUUGCCGCAGGGCAAAGACUUGAGUAAGGAGAAGAGAGAAGAAUGAGGCCAUUGGAGAAGAUGUGGCCAUUGUGGCUGGCGGCAUGGGUGCAGAAGGCAAACUAGGGGAAGAGGACGCCUGACGGGGGUCAUCGCUGUCCUUGGGCCGUAGCUCAUGUUGGCAUUGCCAGAGGCGGCGGCAGCAUGGGAGGGGCCAGUUGGUGAGGCGUCCCCAGCUCUCGCUGUGAUUUUACAAGUUCUUUCCCAUGUACGUCUUGAAUACGUAGGGUAUAGAUACUUACCAAUCCUACCUAUAUUCUCAUGAUGAGGAAAAAGUCAUAGAUAUGAGAUACCAAAUGCCAUUCUCCCAUAUCUUGAAUCGUUGAAAUGUACAAAAAGUCGCAACCCUUGAGCAGAGUGUAUAAAUUGGCUUGUUGCCCACGUUUCGAUCCUUUCGGCCGAAUACUUGGAGACGUGGCUGCUAGAGUCCCGACCGAUGGGACCAGACUUUUAUAUUGCUCUCCUGGUAGACUCUUCGUUUUGCUUUCCUUCCGGAUCGCGCAGGGCUUUUGGCUUUUGGCUUUUGGAACCGGCCAUCCUCACUUCAUGGCUUUAAAGGAGCCACGUCGAUGGGCUUAUUUAUUACCAUUAUUGGAUUCUUCAAAGCUGAUGCUGUCGAUUAUUAUUUAUCAAGUUAAUUUCCAGCGCAGAAACUUCAACAGCAGGACAGACAGCGAAACAAGGGGGUGCAUGACAACAUUUCUAUUUCUAUUUCUGGACGAAUUCUGAGGAAAAAAAUCCGUUUGAUAACUCGUCGAUGGAUGAGGAGAGGGCAUGCGGCUGAGGUCGCGGGGCGAUGGCGGCUUUGGUGAGAUGGAGCAGAGCAGGAGCGGCUUGGGGUGUCGGUGCUCGGAUCUGUUGUAGAGGGCUUCGGCUUCGCAGGGAACAAGCGGCAGGGGUGCAGAGAAGAGGCGGAGGGCGUCGGUGCUCAGAUCUGUUGAGGGCUUCUGGCUUCGCAGGGGAACGAGCGGCGGGGUGCAGAGAAGAGGCGGAGGGCGUUGGUGCUCGGAUCUGUUGCAGAGGGCUUCGGCUUCGCAGGGGAACGAGCGGCGGGGGUGUAGAGAAGAGGCGGAGGGCGUCGGUGCUCGGAUCUGUUGAGGGCUUCUGGCUUCGCAGGGGAACGAGCGGCGGGGGUGCAGAGAAGAGGCGGAGGGCGUCGGUGCUCAGAUCUGUUGCAGAGGGCUUCGGCUUCGCAGGGGAACGAGCGGCGGGGGUGCAGAGAAGAGGCGGAGGGCGUCGGUGCUCGGAUCUGUUGAGGGCUUCUGGCUUCACAGGGGAACGAGCGGUGGGGGUGCAGAGAAGAGGUGGAGGGCGUCGGUGCAGAGGCGGAGGAGAGGCGGAGGGCGUCGGUGCAGAGGCGGAGGGCGUCGGUGCAGAGGCGGAGGGCGUCGGUGCAGAGGCGGAGGAGAGGCGGAGGAGGAGGAGGAGGUAGAGAAGAGGCGGAGGAGGAGGCAGAGAAGAGGCGUACGAGGGAGAAGAGUGAAAUUAGGUUAGGAGAAAUCAGAAAUUGAUUUCUGAAGAAAUCAGAAAUAGAAAAUAUCUAUUUCUGAUUUCUCCUCAAUUUCUAUUUCUGGAAUAGAAAUCUAUUCCAGAAAUAGAAAAUUUGAUAAGGGUUAUCAAACAAGUUUCUGUUCCAGAAAUUGGUCUGGAACAGAAAAAUCAUUUCUAGAACAGAAAUAAUUUUUAUCAUGCACCCCCCAAGUGUUCGUGUUCAUGUUCGUGGUUCCAAGUCGCUGAUGCAUCAACAUUUCAUUUUCAUUCAAUGAAACAUAACCUUUGAGAGAAAUACAUUCCAAGUACCCAAACUUGGCACGAAAUAUUUAAGUGCUAAAAGUUAGGAAAAUGGCAUUUAAAUGCUACUUCCGGUGAACCUCGUUGGAAAUCUUAGGUGGUAAUUUUUUAUUAUUUUUCCUGUUAACGUGGCUCGCCGGAAAGCUGACUCAACAAAAAACUGCAAAAAUAACUUUGUUUUGGCAUGUAUUUGAGUUUUAAUAUAAAAAUAAAUUAAAUUAAAUUACAAAAAAUUAAUUAAUUAUAAAUAAAUAAAUAAAUAAAUAAGAAAGAAAAUGGAAGAAAGCGGUCGAGAGUUGAGCCCUCAACCACCGCCACCUCCCCGCCGCCGUCGGGAAGGGUCGGCAAUGGUGGGGGGGGGUCAGCCAAGGUCGCCGGCCACCCCUUGGCUUUUUCUUUUUAAAUGUUUUAAAUAAAUUUUUAAAUUUAAUUUAAUUAAUUUUUAUAUUAAUUUUUACCACCUUAGCACCAAAACAACGUCGUUUCCACAUUAUCUAGCCAUGUCAGUGUGUAAAAUGACGCCGUUUUGUACUUAUUUCGCUAGAAAAUUGCCACGUUAGCAUUUUGGCUGUAUUGACACUUUGAUCUAUUUUGCUUCGAUUUUGACACUUAAGUAUUACUUUUUAACUUUUGAUACUUAAGUGUCCAUCCGUGCUAAGUUUUGGCACUUGUGCUAUUUAUUAUCGUAACCUUCAGACUAGUCCUUUUAGUCAACUGUAUACCGAGAGCUUGCAUAGUAUGCCUUUUGAGUGGUAGAUAGAUACACAUACAUCUGGAUGUACAUGUAAUGAUAUGAUAUAUUAUAUUCUUUAUGCACGUCAUAACUUCUCUGACCGUGAUCUCCAGAUGAGUCAGUGAUCAAUCAGUCCCCGAUAGAAAUAAUUUGCGUGUGAAUAAAAGUACUUCAGCAGCGGAAAGAAAUGAAGUACCCGAAACUUGUAAUGUCAAUCGACUCUGCAUUUCUUUGUCGGCAAGGCCUCCCCAAAUUUAAAAGAAUCCCAAGAAAGACGAACACUUUAAGUAAUAUCCAUGUUAGAAAGAUAGGCACCUCUUUUCACCAAAUCCCAACAUCUCUCUCUCUCUCUCUCUCUCUCUCUUUCAGCUCUCCCUUCUUCCAAAGCUUUGACGACGACGACACCACUACUGCAGCCACCGACAGUGAUGAGAACAACCUCUGCGUCAUCACAUCGUAAGUGACAAACUAAAAAUACAACAAAUUGGUCUCACCUAUAUAAUGUGACGAGGCAGAGGUUGUCCUCAACAAGAUGCUACUCAAUACACAUACCGAUAUUACUAAUGGGAAUGAAGAGGCGAAUAACUAGUUUUUCUUGUGACAUCAGACAAAACAAUUCGUGCUUAACUAAUAUAAAAUCUUACGUACUUAUGUAGUGAUUAGUAGAUACUGAAAUGAAAGUACGUAGUAUAGUGUUGACACCUAAAUUUUAGCGGUCCGAUCAUUUAUUUAUUGCAUAGAAAAUUAGGGGUUAAUUUUAUCCUAAAAAAAUAUUAAUUGCAUAACAUAUAGAUUUAUGUGCAUUUAUUUUUAAUUUGCAUUUGUUGCAUUUAUUUAUUGGACCGGUGGCGGAUGAGUUUGAAUUAAGGGUUCUAAGCUUUAAAUGGACAAGUUAGACUAAGCUCACGAAUAGAGCAAAUUGGCCCAAGCUCGUUUUAUGGGCUCAUCUUUACGAGAUUUCAAAUUUGAAAAAAUCCUAAGAGAUGUGGAAAAUAAAAAAUGAUAUUGCGUGUGAAAAAGAAAUCUUCGCCAAUAUUGAUUUGAAAAGGAAAUUAAAACCCUACUUUUUGGCCUAUAAAAAGGCUACUCGUGUAGGGUUUUGUGGGGCCACGCACAAUAGAAUACACGGCCAUUGAUAGAGUCACGAGAGAGAAUAGGGAGGAAUCGUAAAGGGCUUCAACCGAGACAAACCUAUGGUGCCAGGGGGGGAGGAAUCGUAGUAAAGGGCUUCAACCGAGACAAACCUGCGGCGUGGCGAGAGGGAUGGUGCCAGGGGGGAACAUGAAGAAGCACGCCCACACCUCCCAAAUCAUAGCUGCAGGACCUUGCUUCCACGUUGCUUCAGUCUGUUUGACAUUCGAUCAUCAGUCUCGGUUCUAAAAUUGCUGCAGCGCCACCUGCAGCGAUUUCUCAGCCCAAUAAAGAACCCAGCAAUCCGGCGCACUCCAGUUCAGCACCGGCGUCAUCUCCAAUCUGCUGCAACUGCGGUUUAGCCACCGAUUGUUGUGCAUGAUCUCCUCCAUCACCGAAAAACCGACUUAUCCAAGUUGAGGGUUGAAGGCCGCGAGUCCAAGAGUCAAAGGAAGCCACAGCCGUGAGUCCAUUAGAAAAUUCCAAGAGAUAAAAGACAACCGCAAGGAACGUGGAGAGUGGAGACUUCACUUGGGGCAAGCAACCCGACAUCCACGAAUAGAGAAGAAGACCAUUCUCGGUGAUCCUCGAGACGUCGAUCUUUGCCUCAAGUCACGAGCAGCUUCCCCGGUGCUAUCGUAGCAGUGAUCUUGCAGUCUUGCCACUGCAGCCGCAAGCCUAUUUCCAACCAUACAAGAAGGAACAAGUUCUCGGGACUCCUACACUUGCUUGUGGCCGUCCAAAUUCUCUCUGAUGCCGAGCAAGCACUGGCGUUAAUCUAUAUAUUUGCUCUUGAUCUCAACAAGUAGUAACUCUUGCUGUACAUUCCAGUGUUUUGUUCUCGGCAGGUCCUCCUUGUGUUGCAAGGGUUUUUGCUGAAUUUUCAAAGAUGAACACUGAUCCAGUGCCUAGGUUUGCGAGUCUUGUUGCGUUCUCUAUCAAGUUUCUGUUUUGCUAGUUCUCCCCACCACACACGGCCACCAUUGGAGGAGAACCAUUAUACAGAGGAGACGAGAGUGGAAAAAGUGAUAUGGGUCCACCGGUCAACAAGUCAACAGAAGGAGAGAGGAGGUUGUCUUCUUCGAGCAUCCCUCGACGUCACCGCAGCUCCUUCACCGAUGACGUUACUGCAGCCCCACUGCUGACUUCGUAGCUGCUGUCCUCCGCCCAUGGCUACCCAUCCCCGCAUCUAGUCGAGCACUACCACGCACCGCCCUCACCCGUUGAGCGGAUUCUGUUCGGUUCAAAUUUGGUAGCAUUAUUUGCGAAAUUAGGUAAUUAUUUUAUCUAAAUUUGGUUUGGAUAUUUUAUUGCCUAAUAUAUGCUUUUCAAUAUCUUACGUGCAUAUUUGAAUAAUAAACCUAUUUCCGGUUAGGAUUUAUUGCCUAAUGCGCAACUGCGCACGGAUUUUUUUAUUCCAUAUAUAAGGCUUUAGAUGGAGAUUUUAAUCACGUGUGAAUACAAUUAAUAUCUUGAUCUUUAAGGCUUAAGAUCAAUUUAUCAAUUUUAUUAGCGAAAUAAUCAAGUUUGAUUAGAUAUCGUUUCCAAAUUUGAACAAUGGAUAAUAUCUUUGAUGACCGUGGAUGAUUUGGUGCUUAUCUUUUAACUGCUUUAUUUAUCCCGAAAAUACAAAAAAAAAUUGCAUUUACAUUUCAUGUAGGUUAGAAUUGAUUGCAUGAUAGGUUAGUUAGAUUUUUUUUUAAAUACAUGUUUAGAAGGUAUUUAGAAUAGAUAACAUUUCCUUUAGUUUUCACUUUAGUUAGAUCUUUAUUUUUAGUGAUUUUAAUUACGAAUUUUCAUAAAAAAAUAAACAAAAAAUGUCUUAGAGUAAAUUAGUUUCAAUCUCUAGGAUAUAUUGCAUUCUUUUAAGAAAAAAAAAUGUCAUGUGCAUGUCUUAGGAUUAGAUUCAUGAAAUGAAUGCCAUUUAGUGAUUGUUGCUAGGUCCAUUUAAUUAAAAAUUGCAUGUAAUUAGAAUUAGGUCAUUUAGUUAAUGUUGCAUUGCAUAUUGUAUAAUUUUCAUUAAUCAAGUGAAAAAAAAAGGAAUUGCGUGUUAAUUAGAAUUCAUAUUUAGGGUUGUUGAUAUUGAUUCUAAUUUAACAUUACAGAUGCUUUCGUUGCUUUGAGGUAAGUUUUGCAAUUUAUUCAUUAUUAAUCUGGGUGUUAAAUUGGUGGAUUGCACACCCGCAUAAUCGCCUCACAUAUUAGGGAAAUAGAUUUAAAAUCAAUCCAAAUUGCCUGCAAAAACAUUUUUGAAAACAAAAAGAAAUUGUUUCAAAAGGGCAUUAGAGAAGUCUAGUGUAACCAAGUCCCUGUACCCAAAGUCUCUGGUUCGUAGGAGUAAAAUAACUCUCCAAUUAUUUUACUUAGGUGUCUAAUUGACUUAUACUAAACUGAUUAGUGGCGACUCCUAAAUAAAAUCUAUAUGUAUGUUAAGAAAUUUGAACUUAAGUCGCGAAUUAGUAUGGGCUUGGGAGAGUCCGAGUUAAGUCUAGACUUAACAAUCCAUUAGCCAAACCCUAGGUGGUUCACCCGAAAAUUUGGUCGUGACACAUGAGCUACUUGCUUUGCUAUUCACCUCCUCCAUUAGGAUAAUGAGUGGAUUCUCAAUGAAGCAAAUCCGAACCACGUGAUUCACGGUUCAUUUUUUAUGAAUUUAAUGGAGCGGGGCCAUCUUAAUUGAUACAAUCGAUAAUGCAAAGAUGUCGCUGGGGAAUUAGUAACAUCUUGGGGCUAACGAUGAAGUCCUUUCUUUUUUCUAUAUAAAGAGGGCACAAACUAGCUAUUGGCAUCCACCAGGUCCAUUCCAAGUUUGGAAAGUUAGAUAUCGUGCUCUUAUUUUGUUGGUCACAUAUUCUCUCAGAAGAGAAGACAAUGGCAGUGAGAGGGAAGAUGGAGGUGGAGGUGGAUCUCAAGUCAUCGGCCGAUCAGUUCUACGGCUUCUUCAGGAACACCCCACACCACUUCCUACUGCUGCACUGAUCUGCACGCUGGGAGAUUCAUGAAGGCGAAUGGCACACUGAGGGCUCCAUUAGGAAGUGGACUUAUUCAGUUGGUAAGCAUCCUCUUUUGUGCUGGAGAGGUUCCGUUUUAGUUUGGCCUAGAUUAAUCAUGCACCGAAUCAAUUGCAAUAUGACAAGCCCAUGUUUCGUUUCAUUCUCAUUAUAGUCAUUCCAUUCCACUGCAUCGAAAUGCAUGAACAUAGAGCUGAAUCUGUCCUGCGCUGUGUAUGGAGCUAGCACUUGAGAUUAUCUACAUGCCAUAUACUUAGUCCGCCACCAAUUAAAGUGAUCAUGGAACACGAGAAGAGACGCAGGAAGAUAUACAAGUUCUCUUUGAUUGGUCCAAUGAUUAAUGCAUUUCGAUGAAACAUGGAGACUUGGAUGUAUAUAACCUCAGGAAUAUAUAUAAGAAAGGAAGAAGAAUCAUCCUUCAAUAGUUCGUUCGUUCCAAUUUUCAUGUGGGAGUGUGGAACUUGUGCAGAAGGGAAGAAGGAGACAUUCAAGCAGAAGAUACAGUUUGACGAUAAGAACAAGAUCGCAACCCACGUCGGCAUCGAAGGCGAGGUGUUCAACUAUUACAAGAGCUACACGGCCAUCUGGCAGGCCGUCCUUAUGGACGGAGGACCCGACGUCGUUAAGGUGAUCAUCGGGUAUGAGAAGUUGAACGAGAGCAUGCCCCACCCAGUCAUCUAUAUCGAUUUCCUGGUUAACAUGACUAAGGACAUCGAUGCUCACCUCGUCAAGGCUUAAGCCCUACGAAAGAAGAGGAGAAGGAUGUAUGAUGUCUGCUUGUGUGUCGAUUAUCCAAAUAAACAAGCAUAAAUAAAUACGGAGUGAUCGGCAUACUUAGUGCUGAACUCUCUAAUCUAUUGUCGUGUCUCUCCCUCUCUCUUGAAUUUACCCUCUCUUUUGUUUGUGAUUAUUCAUUACUUUGAUUAAGGGUUUGCCCAUGAUAGAUUAGAUUCAAAAAACAAUAACUAUAAGCAUUUCGACAGUUUAAUUAAUGUUAAGAUAGCAUGAGUUUUUCUAUAUAACUAUAAAAACAAAGUGAAGCUGUUAUUUGACUGGACUCUCCAAACCUUCAAAUGGGUUCAGUCCACAUGUCGAUUAUGCAAUAUCAGCUCAAACAGUACUUAUCCUAAUGUUGUAAAACUUCCGGGGUCUUAGUUUCUCCAUUAAAAGACGUUGGGAAACCGAUCAAAAUUAACUGAGGAAUACAUUAAAACAAAAUCCGCGUGGUUUAGAUGAUGGAACCUAAGUUGAUGAGGAGAGCAAGAAUUCAUUACGAAACAAAUGAUAUAAUAUAGAAAUUAAGAUUACUCAAUUGAAUCGAUUAAAAACACUCUUUUAUGUUUCCAAAGGCAUUAUACCCAACAUCUGACAAAUAAGCCAGUACAAGAAGUCCUACUUAGAUGUCAUUGUUAUUUAGUGAGAAAAUCUUAGGAAUCCUCCCUUAUGAAUUAAGUUAUUGCAUGGUCAACAAAUCAUGCAAAUUAAUAUCAUCCAAAUCAUUAAUUAUGUGGGUACCAUUAUUAGACAGUUGUUGAUACCUAAAUUUUGACUGUCACAUUUAGUUCUUUAUUACAUAAAAUAAUUAGGGGUUGAUCCGAUUCUUGAACAAAAAUAUAAAUUCACUUGAUUUGCAUGUGCAUUACGUUUAGGAUCCGUACUGCAACGAUGAAAUUUAGAACUGAUACGUACAUGAGUCACAUGUCAUGCACAUGCACAUGCACAUGCACCAGCUGCAGAAGUCCAAGCCGUGGGUGGAGAUCAAAGUAGAGUCGGUGAAAAGAAAAAAUAAAAAGAAAUAAGGAGCCUCUGCGCUUUAUCCUAUUCAACAUAAAGUACUCACUGAGAGGAGAAGACCCGGGAUACUCAACACGGAGGGGGGACAUACAAAGGUGUGGUGUUUCUGUUUUGCAGGUCACCCGAGAGUCCCUGCUGAACUUUCCAGCCGAGAACCACUCCAUGGGCGAAUCUUAGUGAAGCCACCGUCGACCGCCAUCGCAAUCCCAGCGUCCCUAUAUCUUAAUCUGGAUAUCGUCGUUCAAAUUAGGUAACGAUCUUUACCCAAAUUGAUUUGAAUAUUAAAUUGCUAAUUUCUGUGUGAUUUCAUUAUUGAAUUGCGAUAUAUGAAAUUUUUGGCAUCAUCCAAUUAGGGCAUUAUUGAUGAUAGUGAAUUUAAUUACUAAUUUGAUCCGUAAAGGUUUUGGAUCACUUUUUAAUUACUUUGACUUGAUAUUGGAUAAUUAUUGUGCCUAAAUAUUGUGAUAAUCUUUAAUUUAACCUGUUAGAUGAUAUGUUAUUUUUCAAAUUAUCUCAAUCUUUUAAUUUGAAAUUUCGUUGGAUUGCAAGUGUCGAUUAGUUGAUAAUCUAUGUUUAAUUUAGACGACUGCCAUAUUAUGAAAAUACCAAAAAGAACAUCAUCUUAGAAUGGAUUAGAUUUCUUCUCUUAGUUCAAAUUGCAUACUUGAAUUAGGGCAUAUUUAAUUACAAAUUUUAAUAGAAAUACCAAAAAUAUCACGUGCGUGUCAUAUAGUUUUAAUUGUGUUAUUAUUUACUAUGCCGUGUUAUGUGCAUGUCAUAUAGUUUUUUUAGUUGCAUCAUCAUUAUGCCACGUCGUAUACUACGUCAUCCAUACAUGCCAUGUCAUCCGUGCCAUGUCAUUGACUGCAUGUCAUUUAGACAUUGCAUGUUUAGGUUAAUCUAGAAUGCAUGUCAUGUUAGAACACUUGCAUUAAAACUUAGAUUGACAUUACAUAAAUGAAUAACACUUUCUUGUAAUAACUUAAAUUUUUUAAAUAAUAAGCAACAGUUUCACAAAAUUUCAUAUGAUACCACAAUAAGAGAUCUUACAAAAUCUUAUAUAAUAUCAUAGUAGGUGGUCUUGGUUCAAAUUUUUGUAAGCCUUUAUUUGUAUUUCCAAUUAUGUAUUUUCACGCUUUAAAUUUAGACCAAGAUCCUAUGCAUGAGGGUGAACGUUGGAAUAUUUAAAUAUUAAAUCGUACCAUUAUUUGCAAUAUGAUAUCCAUUUUAUAUCCACGUCGUGGGACCCAUAGAUGAGUUCUAGAUAAGGUUCACAAUUUUUUAUUUUCUUUUGACUAACUCAACAACGAGUCGAUUGAAGCAACCGUGCCCCCAUUAAAUAACCCAAAAUUCUAACGCGCAACUGCAUCAUAUUAGGUUAGCUUUAAAGUGACUGCUGUUGAUGCUGCAAUACUUAAUAAUAACAUAAAUAGUAACAUUGACCCAUGCUAUUCAUUUGAUACGUGCUAAGAAAGGGGUUGAGAGUAAUGCUGGAGAUGACACCGACAUAUGUGGAGGGAAAAGAAAGUGGGGUAUGGCUAUGGCUAGAUCUACCCAUUUCGACUAUUCAUUAAAAGAUCGUCACGUAGCCAAUGAAAAUAAACUAGUAAAAGACCCGCCCGCCGUAUCAUAAUCACACCUCACAAACCCACUCUUCUUCUCAGCCACUUGCCUCUCCUUUGAUCGUCUCCUUCCUUGGCUCGUCGUCGUCCGUGGCGGAGCUUGGUCACUAUUGAUGAUGGAGAAGUCCUAGAUAACGUAAGAAGAGCUCUCCAACUAAGUAAGCACAUUGUAAAGCUAUGAGCUAAAAAUACUACAAAUAGGUCUCGCCUAUUUAAUAAGAAACACAAACCCAAUAAAUUCACGGAAUGUUGGUCAAAUCACCACUGAUAUUUACUAUUAACGAGAAUGAAGAAGGCGAAUAACCAAUUCUCCUAAUCACAUCAAACAAAGCAAUUGUGUUCAACAUAUAUAAGAUCUUACGUACUUACAUAGUGAUUAGUACAUUGUGAAAUAAAGUUACUUGCUUUUGUUGUUCAUCUUCCCCACCAAUAGAAUGAAUGAUUCUAUAUGAAGCAAACCCAUUACACGUGAUUCACGAAGUUCCUAUACACAACUCCAACCACUUUAUUUGUUUUAUAAUAUUAAAAAAGGUGUAAUUUUAUGUUUACUUGUUGGAAAUGUGCCUAAAUUUUUCUGAAAAUGUGUUAACAGCAGAGCAAGUCUGCUAGCCAAAUCCUGCUACAAUGCAAUCGCAAUGUUGUCAUAGAAGCACUCAUUUGGGCUUCCAAUCAAGGAACCGACACCUCGGCCAAGACCGGAAGGAAGGCUAUCUUCGAAUGAUGUUACUGACAUUUGUGUUUGGAUGGUUCUGUUCCCUCGUAGAGGAAGCCCAAUGAAACGCAAGCUCAAAAGCUCGAGUCCUAAUGAUAAUCCAUAUGAAAAAUUAAUGGAAUGCUAUAUUGGCCUCAAAUCUCUAUUUCAUGUGGUAGCUGCAAAUAAUGAUUAAUGUGAGACCGUAGCAAGAGAGAAAGAGAGCAGAAAAUUUGGAAAAAUGGGUACUGUUGGAUUUUCUUCAAAUUGACAAUUAGAGGUUGAUACGUGCUUCCUACAUCAAGUUUUUUUGUAGGUUGAACCAAACAUGUAUUUUAGUGAGAUUUAUCCUUAAUCUCUUGUGAAGUGCCUGUGUAUUACCAAGAAUUGUGUUCUUGAUAUUGUUGUUGCCUUUAUCUCUGGCAUCAUUAGCUAGGCAAAAACUUUGUUUACCCAAUUUUAUUGAUAGUGAUGAUUUUGGGUGGACUUCGGUCCCCCUUUUUUUUAUCUCCUCACAUCGGGGAGGUUUUCGAAGUAAAGUUGCUGGUGUUUGUGGGUGCUUGGUGUUUACUUUAUUGUAUGGUUUCCUAUUAUGCUGUAUACAAAGGGAGAUUAUUUUGUUUUGCAGUGCUAAUAUGAUUUUAUUCGGGUUGUCAUUAUUCUCCCAAUAAUUUGAACUCCAUUUCUACGAUCUAAAUAUGAUCAUUCUAUUUAUUUUAGGUUUAUAUUAUAAGCAAUUUGUAUUAAAAAAAUUCAAUAUACAAAUCUUAUAAGUCUUUGUACAAAGGAUGAUCACUUCCUGGUAUGGUUUGGUCCGGUUCUGGUCCUGUCCAAUGAAACCAAUCACAUAAAAGUGCUUGUUGUUCUAAAACUUCAUUCUGUCCUCUGCAUUUAGCAAAUGAAAUAUCUACCAAACUUGGUUUUUUAGCAAACAAAUGAUGUGAAACCCUAACCAAUAUGUGGAAAGAGUUGAUCAUAUUACGUUGAGCAAAAUCAUCAAGAUCCUUGUAAUCUCGGCAAUUAAAAGAAGAAAACAUCGAUGGUGGAACCAGCUUGAAUUGAACAUGAUAUUAACUAAAGAUAAAGUCGAUAGCUUGUCCUAUUGAAAAAGCAUUAACUCCAACAAUGCUUCCACACAGCAAGCAAAGGGGUUUAGCAAAAAUCACCUCUUUAUACCAGACCAAAUGAAACAAUACAGAGACACUACAGAAAAAUUCUAAUGUCUGUCUCAUCAUUUAUAAGUAUAAAAGAAGCUAUGUAACCAUCUUGUCAACUAAAGAACAAAACAACAUCUCUCAAUUAUCAACGCGCACAUUCGGAGAGCCUACAGAGAUAGAAGCCUCCAUCUAACAUGACAAAAAUACUAGUUUUCAUCCACGUUUCUAUGUUUUUUUUUUUUUUAAGCCUACGGAGAUGAAGGCUCCAUUUUUUUUUAAAGAAAUAAUCCGGUUCCUCUCGGGAACCAGACCGCCCGGACAUUAAUUCCACUUUUAGGAAUCAGACCGAAUCUAGUUCGAGCAGUCUCCAAUUCAAUCGGUUGGUUUUACUCACCCCUACUUUGUACCGCUUUAUAAUUUUACAUUCAUUAAUGAGUGUCCCCAUGCUACUUGUUAGAAAAAGCUAUUUUUUUUUUAAAGUGCUACAGUUUUAAGCGUACUAAUUGUUUUUGAAAAUUAUAAUAAGUAUAUCGAAAAUAGAAAACUUUGAAAAGUGUGACCUUUUACAAAGCAUUUCCAACGAAGGCCAUAAAAGCACUCGUUAAUAAGAUUAUUCUAAUUUUUGUUAAAAAAAAAGAGAUUAUUCUAAUUUAAACAUCCAUUUAAAAUAUGCGAUUUCGUAAGGUUUCCUAUCUUAACUCAACUGCUAAACCUCAUGAAUCACGAUUUCUGCGUCUACAUCGUCAAUCAACUUUUGGACGCACUACCUACAUGGGAUUUAAUGUUUACUGCCUUUAUCGGUCAAUCUAAUUUGACAAUAUGAAUGAGACAUCCAACGAAACCAAACCCUUCAAGGGCUUCCAAAGCAACCGGGUAUCCAAGAAAAAUAUUAAGUGAGAGCUAACGGUAGCUAGGGUUUUUGAGUGAAAGAACAAAUGGUGGAUCACACAUGGAUUCCUUCAGAUCUAACGAUCCAAAAUCAUUUUAAUACAUGCUCAGAUUUCAUUCCAAACAAACCAAAAUAUCGUACUUCAUAGGAAUUCACAUUCUAAAAACUAAGAUACUUGGCUCAAAUACGUUGCAAACUACAACUUAUAAGCGUACGUGCCAAUACAAAUUUUGUCAGUGAUGGCUGAUUAUAAAUUGAUAUGUGAAGAUUCGUGGUGGACAUUGAGCGCUCCAUCUCUUGCUAUAACUUAUUGUUGCUUUUGAAGAUUUGAUCAGGAACAAAGUUAUACAGUCCUUGUUAACAAACUUUUCUUUUUUAAUUUCAAUUUUUUUUUCAAUAAUUUCAAAAGUUCAAAAUGUUAGAAAACACAGCCCAACAACACAUAUAAACGAAUCUUUUUAAACUCCUCCUCAAAUGUAAUCCAGUCCUUACACGGGCAUAUAGGUAGAGAUAUAUGAGAUGUGUUGCUCAAAGGGACACUUAAGUAUCAUAACUUACGAAAAGGGUACACUUAAGUACCAAAAUCGGAGUUUAAUGGAUCAUUUGAUCGAUAAUCUGGCUCAAAGUCCGGCCAAAAGGCUUACAUGGCAUUUUUUUGACGAAGCGAGCCAAAAAUGACGUUGUUUUGCACGCUGACGUGGCCAAAUAAUGCAACAACGGCGUCGUUUUGACUGACGUGGUAAAAAAAUAAAUAAAUAAAAUUAAAUUUAGUUAAAAUAUUAAAAAAUAAUAAUUUUAAAAUCAAUUAAUUUAAGAACCACUCCAGCCAAAUUCCGGCCAAAAUUCUGACGUUGCAUUUUUCCUGCGAAUUUCUUACUACAUCAGCCCAAAACGAUGCCGUUUUUGCAUUAUUUGGCCACGUUAGCGUGCAAAACGGCGUCGUUUUGGGCUCACUUAGUCAGAAAUUCGCCGGAAAAAUGCAACGUCAGCCUUUUGGCCGGAAUUUGGCUGGAGUGGCACUUAAGUGAUUCGUUUUUCUUCGAAUUUGGCACUUAAGUGUACCUUUCGUAAGUUAUGGCACUUAAGUAUCCAUUUGUGCAAAGUUAUGGCACUUGAAGUGUUCUUUUGCCGAUAUAUGAAAGAGACUGAAUGUUAGGAUUUGAAUCGUUGACCCACACUCCGAUAUCAUCUUAACAAACUAUUUUCCGGUAAGAGAUAUAUGGACAGACUGAAUGUUAGGUUUUGAACCGGUAACUCGUAUUCCAAUACCAUCUUUAACAAACUAUUUUCCCUCAAAGUCUAAAUUAUUAGAAACCGAGCCAAACAAUGUAUGGUGUAUAGCCCAUUACUUAACAUUCCCACAUAAAUCGGCUUGACUUUUCGUCAUGUUAUAUUAGACUAUAUAAGGAACCAUCUCCAAUCAAACGUGAACUGCAUCAAACACUUCGCUUCGAAGAUUUGCGGCAGAUCCUCUUCCAUAAUGGAUAAGUCAUUGUAUAGUUAGGCUUAGUUGAUGCUUUGAAUUUCGUUUUCUGUUUUCUGUCUCCCAAUCCAAGAUAGAUAUUACUUACAAGAUCUUUUUUCUUUAUCAGUUGAAAGGUCAUGCGUCCGAAAAUCAACAAUAUAAGGGAUAGAAGUAGACGUAACCAACCAAACUACCCAAUAAAUAUGCUGGGCAACGUGAUCGUGUGAGAUCUCUAUCACUAAAAAGAAAGAACAAAGUGUUGACACCCGAAAUUACCUCCGUUGUAUGUGCUGGCCACAAUGAGAAUAAUAAGAGUGAUACACCCCAUUUUGUUCAUGAAAGUUGAGGGCAUCUAGUGUUUAUGAGGAUAUUUGAGCUAAAUGUCAACGGGAUUCUAGACAUAUAUUCUGGAGUCGACGACAAGGUAAUUAAUUGUCAUGUGUCAAGCUAUGAGAGGAACGCAUUAGACUUAGAGUUUAAGUGGAAUUAGCAUUAGAGCUUAGGCAAGAAUAGCUGCUGUACAAAAUGCACAUAAAAAUAGGGAAGCCAUUAUUCACUUGAUGGGUAAGUCGUGCGAGUGUCAUCAACAAGUCAAGAAAUAGUUGUUUAUGGAUGAGAUUGCCAAGAAGAAAAGGAAAACAUGGGGAACGCUAAGAGUGGUGCCCAAGGAAAGUAACCGGCUGAUGGCUACUAGUUCAUCCUAUACCAUAACUUGUUCAACAAAGAGGCCCUACCCAAGCAAUACAACAACUAUCUUUACUUUAUUUACUUUAUCACACUAUUAGCUGUAGUUUUUAAGAUUCCCAUCGUCGAUUAAAUUCCGACAUGUGCCUUUAUCCGGUUUAGUAUAGUCGAUUAAAUUCCAAUAUUAUUCCACAAGCUUAGUGUUGUCGAUUAAUUUCUAGCAUUAUGUCUCCUAUCCAAGGGUAUCGUUAUCGAUUGAAUUCCAAUUAUACAUCUAAAACAAGCUAUCUUGUAGAUUAAAUUCCGAUACAGUUUGAACUUGAAGUAUAGGCUAUUUAGCUACUUGUGUUCAUAUUACAUCGUUAAUUAAAUUCUGGUGUAAUUUGUCCCCAUAAGUUAUUAGUUUUUGAGUCAUCAGAGUAUCAAUUGUCAAAGUUGUAUAUACAAGUUGAGAAUAAAAUUUAUCCUUGCAUUUGAUAUUCUCUUUCCAGAUUCAAUAUAGAACCCGAGUCUCUUAUAAUAAAAUCAAAACGCAUUGUUUGGUGAAAGAUUUUUUGCAGGAAACAAAACUGGCGAAACAUCUUUUUGGCACGCUUGGUGGGACUAUUGUGUUGAGUUGAGAGAACACUAUGCCAUGGAUCUGAAGCUGAAUUAACUUGAAUAGUGCCAUUGACGAUCAAAUAUUGAUGGUUGAGAAUAAUGCACGAGUUGAGUCAUCAUCAGUCCAACUUCCUCAGAAUGAAACCACAAAUUAAGUCCACUAGGAAUGAGCUGAUGUUUUAAGGUAGCGAGUGGGAGAAAGCAAACAUUGCAAUUAUAAAUACGAUGAUUAAGAGAAGAAAAUGGAACAUGUUUAUUCAUACAAGUUUUUCGUUUGCAGUUCUCAAAACCAGCUCGUACAUAUUAAACGUCAAAAUGAUAGGUUUGUCUCGAAUGCGGGCUCAAGAGAUGAUUACCUUGCGAGUGAACAAAAACCAAAUGAAAACGACAAAAAAGAAGUUAAGGACAAGAAGAGACCUAUCUCGCCUUUCCAUCGGUCUCCCUCGAAUCCCUUUUUCACCCGUCAUUUAUUUUUGUUUGAUCUUUUAAGCAAAGAAAAAAAAUGUUAUUCAAACACUAAAUUUAAAAAAAUUUACCCCUCAACUCAUGAAAAACGAAUAGAUUAGUCCCUCCAUCGUUUCCACCUUUAAUUAAGGUGGGCUUGUCAUAGAAUUUGGUGUCAGCCAUACACACAAAAACAAAAACAAAAAUUCACGGGACGACAGUAGCUCCGUUUUCUGAACAACCCAAAAAAUUACUCAAACUUUUACUUAAUGGACAAAAACAGUAGCGCCAAAAACUUUCAUCCGUCCGAGCGAAACGACAUUGUUUGUUAGUAUUUUGAAUUAAGGACUAGUCUUCCCCUAAAUUGAAAAAGUCAGAUUUCUCAAACCGAGUUUUUUUUUUGGCCCAAAUUGAAAAAUAGCAUUGCAGAUGUAUGAUGUUGAGCGUCUUCUUCAAUUUGCAUCGAUAGAAAAUUGAUGGGUGUUGUUAUCUCCCAAGUAAAAAUUUGUGAUCUCUUUGGCAUGUUUAAGAAUUCUCCCCUCUCAUAUUGAAAGAAGCUGGGUCUGAGCGUCAAAUGAACGGGACGUUGCGUUGCACCGGGAGGUAUUUGCCGUUGUCUUAUUGAAGUUCUUUUCCUUAGGAGUGACUUGUCCAAGAUAUAGUUCUGAAAAAAAAAAAUGGGUCAACCAGAUGUCUUAUUGAAUGCCAUGCCAUUACUUCUAAAAAAAAUGUUUACUUGAGUGUCAUGACUUUUAAAAACCGUUCAGGUAAGUGCCAUAACUUUCUAUCAAUCACUUGAGCACCAUAAUUUUUUAGAAGCAUUCACCACUAGUGUAAUGCCAUGUUGGAUUUGUGAUACUUGGGGUAAACAUUUUCUAAAAAGUCGUGGCACUCAAAUGAAAUUUUUUUAGAAGUCGUGAUACUCAAGUGAUAAAAAAAGAAAAAUUUAUAACACUUAAGUAAACAUGGUACAAAAUUAUAGAACUUAUGGUCUCGUUCUCCCCGAAAGAAAGUAAGCGUUAUUCUUUUUCAUGGGAAACUGCUAUGCCAGACCUUUUCCUCUAGGUUUUACUAUUUUGUAUUGCUUAAAAAAGUUAAUUAAUGAAAAUUAUUUGUCUGAUCAAUACAAACAUAUCGUCAAAUCUUUGUAAAAUUGAUUUAUAAUUUUAGAAAAUGAGAGACAAUGUCAAGAUGGUCCCUACACUUUGGGACAGAUUCAACAGCAGGUCAGCCAAACCAGCUACAGGCUGUGGAUAAUUGUAUCUUGGUUAGAUGUCGGUGCUCUUACCGCAUCCGACCGACAACGAAACAAGUGUCUGUGGUUCCAAGUUGCUGACCGGCGUUUCGUUUUCAUCCAAUGAAACAUACCUUCAGACCGGUCCUUCUAGUCAAAUGUACACCGCGAGCUUGCAGAGUUGGCCGUUUGAUUGGUAGAAAGAUACCCAUACAUCUGGAUGUGCAUGCAACGAGAUGAUAUAUUAUAUUCUCUAUGCACGUCAUAACUUCUCUGACUGUGAUCUCCAUAUGAGGUAGUGAUCAAUCGCAGUCCCCAAUGGAAAUAAUUUGCGUGUGAAUGGAAGUACUUUAGCAGCAGAAAGAAAUGAAGUACCCAAUACUUGUAAUAUUAACCGACUCUGCAUUUUUGUUGGCAAGGCCUACCUAACUUUGUACACGUGACAUCCAGAUUUUUCGCUUGACAAUAUAACGAGCCCCAAAUGCUUAAUGGCCCACGCCACAUUGACGAGUUUGUCGUUGGACUGCGCCAUUCACAUAUCACCGCGUCGUCACUGAGCCAUACCAUUUCCACCUCACUCAAUGAUGCAGCCACACCACCGAGCCACUACCCCUACCUCGUUGCCAACAACUCCGACUUCCGCUUUCAUCGCGUGACGUCAUGCCGCUCUCCAGUUGACAUCGCCUUCUGCAGCUACGAGGAUCGCUUGACGAACAACCCAGACAGCCAACUCCUUCUCUGUGUCGCACGUCCAUCGAGUCAACAGUGAGCGGUGUCUAUCCCAGCUCAUGUGAGAUGCGCUGGACAGAGCAGCCACCGUGUCUUCUCCUCCCCCCACCGCUUCCCAAGCCGCAACAAGUCAGUAACAGCAAGCGGCGCGAAGAAGUAACGCAGAAAGAAGAGAAAAAGCAAGGCAGCAAUUCCUCUCAUUUCAGCUUCGCCCAUUGCACGGUCCUCCUCCUCCUCAGCUCACGGUCACGCCCUCUUCCUCAAGUUCCUGUUCUGCGCACCGCCUCAACUCACAACCACCAGCAGCUUCCCUCUCCAUUGCAGCUGUGCGGGUCGCCACCGUCAGUCAUGCCGUCACCCCGCCGAGCCGCAACUGCGAUAUCUUAGGAGCCGAGGCAAGUGGAUACGUUAAAUAUGGGUUUUGACCAAGUCAAAAAUAAGAGAAAAAAAGAAGGAGAAAGAGUUGAGCGGUCAAAGGAAGAAGAAAAGAAGAGAAAGGAGGAGGAGAGACCGAGAGCCUUUAGGAGAGAGGAAGAAAAAGAAGAAGAGAGAGAGAGAGAGAGAAAGAAAAUAAAAGAAAAUAAAGGUUGAAAAGUCAAAGAAGAGAGAAGAAAAAGGAGGAGCACGGGGAAGAAAGGAAGAAAGGAGAAGGAGAAAGAAAGAAGACGAAGCAAAAGAUAAACAGGGUUUUGUGCGUUCUCAUUAAGGAAGUCUCGCCAAUCACUUUAACUACGUAAUGCAAUGCUCAGUAAGCACUUGUGCCAUGUUCGUCCAAUUGAAUUAGUUUUGGACUUAAACCUUGAAAUUCGGAAUUAUUGGAGAUUUGUGUGGCGAAAUACGAUUUUGAGUCGUUGAGUUGCGUAUUUAUAUAGAAAUGAUAGUUUAGGUGAGUAAAAAAUAGUGCAAGUGCCAAAAUUUAACACGGAGGACACUUAAAUAUAAAAAGUUAUGAAAAGUAUACUUAAGUGCCAAUUUUUUUUAAAUAAAAAAAUUGCAAUACUUAAAUGCCAAGUCCAGCGACCUUGGUCAGAAAUUCCACAUGAUAAUUUUUUAUUUAUAUAAUUUGCAUACAUAACUCACCGGAGAGUUGAGUCAGCAAAGAGGAUUCAAAACGACGUCAUUUUGCAUUGGUGUGAAAUUUAAUAUAUAUAUUAAUUAAAUUAAAUUUAAAACUAAAUUAUUAUUAUUAUUAUUAAAUGGAGGAUGGCAGAAUGGCUAGGCUUGUGUAAGCCCUCGCCACCACCUCGCCAUCAUCGUCGGCCACAGUGGAGGGAGGGUUGACCAACAUUGCCGGGCUUUGGCAGACUAGCGGUGAGGGCCUGCAAGCCCCUGCCCAUAUCUAAGGCAAGGGUCACGGCCCUCCCCCAGAUUCGAUGAGGGUCACCAGCCCCUACCCGGUUGAGCCAAGGGCAUCGCUGGCUGGGCGAGAUAUGAAUAAAUAUGUUUGUCGUAUAAAAUUUAGAUCAGACAUUGGCUAUGUUUUGGUAUUUGUGAAUGGUGCAAGAACUGAUUUGUGGAAAAAUAUGUUCAGUUUGAGGAACGAAGUUAAGAGAUAUCGAUUUGUGAAAUGCUUUAUGAUAUGUAUUUGAUUUGAUUUGGUUUGUAAAACCAAUUUAUAAGACAAGUCUUGAAAUGAUUUAAGAAAUUUUUUACGAAAUGUAUUAACAAAUGAGUUGAGUUGAGUUGAGCUGCGAAAGUUUUUUGUGAUAUAUGAAAUGAAUUUUGCAUUUGGCUUUGUGGAUUCUGGAGGAUGUUAUGAUUUAGUAAUUAUGCUCAAGAUCAUUGUGAGUCUAGCGUGGGGCUUGUGGGUAUGCCCAUACCAGUUUAGGAUAUCUUUUUGGGCUAAGCCACCGGCUAAUAAUAAGGAGAGACUUUGCUAAGGGGGGAAUCGUAGUCGCAUUGUCACUAGGCAGUAUGUCGUGACCAUGAUUUGAUAUUGAGCAAUAAAUUGGUCAAUGCAGUUGACCAUUGACAUGUAAUAUGAGUUUGGUCCAUAGAGUAAACUAUUGACAUAUGAUUUGCAUUUAGUUAAUGGAAUGAACGAUCGAUGUAUGAUUUGAGAUUAGUCAUUGGAAUGGGCCAUCAACGUGUAAUUUCAUUAGACCAUUGAUGUAUGACAUGAGAUUAAUCAAUGUAAUAGACCAUUGGCAUGUGAAUUAAUAAUAUUGAUCAAUGGAUUAGACCAUUGAUGUUUGUUUUGAUAUUAUUUAAAAUGAUUAUUUUUGCUAUAAAUAGCAAUGUUGAAGCAUAUGUAACUUAUUUUCUUAUUGUAUAUUUAUUAUAUUAUAGAUUUGGGUUAAAAGAAUUGUGGUUUGGUUUUGUAAAUAUGCAUAGUGGGUGCUCGAUCCACUUACUAAACAUGCACUACCCAUUGGACUGUAGUUGCUCAUCCAUCUAUUUUCUAAUCUUUUUUAGGUUCUUUAGCGAGCAAUAAGUAGUACAAUAGUGAUGUUGACGAGGGAAUUUUGAGAAUUGGAUUUUUGGUGGUUUGUCAUCCCCAUUCUUGAUGAUUUUGGGGGUGUGACAUGAUAUCCCCUGUUCUAUCCUCAAUCGUGUCGUGUGCUGAGGAGCUUUUACUUAGAAAUCCUUUGAAUUUAGUGAUUUAAGAGAUGUUAGCACCUAGUUGUGGGUUUCAGACAAAGUUAUAUAGUUAGAAAGUUUAAAACUUUACUCAAUGGGUUUGUAUAUGUGUUAUGGGAAGGUUGUUAAAUUUGCGUACAUACCUGGACUAAAGGUACCGAAGUUAAGCCGAAAUGGGAAAAGGUUAUCGAGGUUAGGUUCGGUUUGGUUUGACCUUCAAUUUUGUUAAUUUCUUACUGACUUGUGUCAUGCAAAUUUCAUUGGACAUUCUUCACGAAAGUCAUCUCUUAUUGGCUGUUCUAUGACGUACUAUAAAUUUCAGAUUUUUCAAACUUUGUACUACAAAUAUAAUAUUUGAAAAACUAUUGAGUUUGAAAUCUAUUUUUAGGGUUAUUGAAUUGACCUAGUUUUACUUUCCAUUUUCCACAGAAUUUUCGGUCAAGAAUUCUAACUCACGUCCCCAUGAAAGUUGUAGAGUACAUCCUAUACCAUGACAUAUAAAAUUUCCAUGAUUUUUCAAUCUCAUUUAAUCUAUGAAAUAUUUAUCUUUCUGCUCCAUCACGUUCUGGGAAUUACCUAUUGUUUUGGUCUGGUUUACUAAAAAUUAUUUAGAACAUUUUCUCUAAAUCUUGUCUAUCUUAUGUUAAAGUUUCGUAAUUUUUGAAAUUCUUUUACCUAGACAAUUACUAUAGUUUCUAGAGGCACAUAGGAUGGCCUUAUAAAGUUAGUUUAAGAACUUGGAUAGGGAAUUCUUCUCAUAGUUCAUCUAAUGUAGGCACGAGUGAAUAUAUAUUAAUCUAGGGGAUAAAAAUGACUGAGGAUUUAUUAGAUUUAUGCUUGAGUUCCUUGGUAAUAGUUAUGUCAAUAUUCUUUUUAAAUUGAAUUAUGGAAUUGUUGCAUCAUGGCAUGAAUGUGUGAUGGUAAUACCGUCGGUCCUUAGAAUGACAAUGCCUUGAGUUGUAAUAGGAAUGCCUGGAAGGGUAACUGGAUUCCUUUAGAUGCCUAAGGGGUGUAACUUGAUUCCCCCGUAUGUCUUGGCGAUGCCAGAUGGGUGCGAAAUGCCCGUGGGGCAAUGAGGUUCCCUAGAAGAUGAUGGCAACAUGGAUUAAUAUUGACUAUUGCCUUAGUAUUUUUGAGUUGAGUGACUAAUUACUUGUUGGGAAAAGCUAUUGCUUUUAUUGAUAUAUUAUGUUAUUUUGAAGAGGUUUCCAAGUAAGUUGAUUAUUUACUAUACUUUAUAUUGAUGUUUUCCUUGUCAGUAUGGUGAUUGAUUUAUAUAGAAUGGACUAAUGGAUCUUCUACUUGCUGGAUUCAGGCUCACUGGUUAUUGAUCUUACCUUUUCAAAUCAAUAGAAAUUAUACCGAUCCUCCUUACUUCUACUUCCAUUGGUUAUGGGGGUACCUGUAGACCUCACUUGGCACUUUUUCGACUUUGGAAAUCCGGAUUUUUUGGAUUAUUACCUUCAUCCGAUGCAUCGCCAUUAUGUCCAUAGACAUAGGGGUCUUGGCAAGCCCUAUACUUAUGGGCUUCCUCGCGAUCUUCGCACGANNNNNNNNNNNNNNNNNNNNNNNNNNNNNNNNNNNNNNNNNNNNNNNNNNNNNNNNNNNNNNNNNNNNNNNNNNNNNNNNNNNNNNNNNNNNNNNNNNNNUGAUGGGAACGACAAUUGUAGCAGUACAAUCACGAAGCACGGGUAGGGAGGUGAAGCAAUAUUUUGGAUCCAUGCAACGGUUUUGGGCAUACUAGGAUUGGAGGAUAGGUGACUAGACAUGUACAGGAUAUCUCUGGGUUGGGAUGGUACCAUGGGCGAUGUUUGAUGUAGUUCUUGAUGAGCAUUUUUUAAAUCCCUAGUAUACCGACCAUGUCACCUAACGUAAAUACAUAAAGAAAUGAAGUACAUUAGCCUGGUUUAUAAUUCCACGUACGCUCUUUGAAUUUUUUAUGUUCUGGAUUAUUACUAUUGACCUAAAACACUUCUGCAUGCUUAAAAAUGGUGAAAGAAGCUGGAUAACUAUGAUAGCCAUGAUGUGCUGGGGACGUUGCAGUAUGGACCCCAAGAAACAUGAUAAAAGCUUUAAGUAAUAUCCAUGUUAGAAAGAUAGGAGCCUCUUUUCACCAAAUCCAUUAGCCUGGUUUAUAAUACCAUGUGCGUUCUUUGAAUUUUUUAUGUUCUGGAUUAUUACUAUUGACCUAAAACACUUUCACAUGCUUAAAAAAGGUGAAAGUAGUUGGAUAACUAUGUUAGCACGUCACAAUAUGGACCCCAAGAAACAUGACAAAAACUUUAAGUAAUAUCCAUGUUAGAACGAUAGGCACCUUUUUUCACCAACUUUUUUAGCCUGGUUUAUAAUGCCGCAUGCAUUUACUAUUGAUCUAAAACACUUCCGUAUGCUUAAAAAAUAUGAAAGAAGUUGGAUAACUGUGUUAUCCGUGACAUGCUGUGGGGACGUCAUGGUAUGAACCCCGAGAAACAUGACAAAAACCUCAAAUAAUAUCCAUGUUAGAAAGAUAGGCACCUCUUUUCACGAAAUCCCAACAUCUCUCUCUCUCUCCUUCCAAAGCUUUGACGACGACACCACCACCUCAACCACCGACAGUGAUGAGGACAACCACUGCCUUACCACAUCGUAAGCGAUGAGCUAAAAAUACAACAAAUUGGGCCUCGCCCGUAUAAUGUGAUGAGGCAGAGGCUGUCCUCAACAGGAUGCCAGUCAAAACACAUACCGAUAUUACUAAUGGGAAUGAAGAGGCGAAUAACCAGUUUUCCUUAUGGCAUCAGACAAAAAAUUUGUGCUUAGCUAAUAUCAAAUCUUACGAACUUACGUAGUGAUUAGUACAUACAGAAAUAAAAUUACGCAGCAUGAGCUACUUGCUUUGCUGUCCAUCUCCACCAUCAGGAUAAUGAGUGGAUUCUCAAUGAAGCAAAUCCAAACCACGUGAUUCACGAUUCAUUUUAUUAUCAAUUCAAUGGAGCGGGGCCAUCUUAAUUGAUACAAUCAAUAAUGCAAAGAUGUCUCUGAGGAAUUAAUAACAUCUUGGGGCUAAGGAUGAGGUCCUUUCUUUUUUCUAUAUAAAGAGGGCACAAACUAGCUAUUGCCAUCCACCAGGUACACUCCAAGUUUGAAAAGUUACAUAUCGUCGUUUUAUUUUGUUGGUUACUUAUUCUCUCAGAAGAGAAGACAAUGGCAGUGAGGGGCAAGCUGGAGGUGGAGGUGGAUCUCAAAUCAUCGGCCGAUCAGUUCUACGGCUUUUUCAGGAGCACCCCGCACCACCUUCCUAAUGCUUGCACUGAUGUGCACGCUGGGGAGAUUCUUGAAGGCGAAUGGCACUCUGAGGGCUCCAUUAGGAAGUGGACUUUCUCAGUGGGUAAGCACCCUGUUUCGUGUUGGAGAGAUUCCGUUUUAUUUUGGCCCAGAUUAAUCACGCACAUUUGACAAGCACAUGCUUCGUUUCAUUCUCACUACAGUCAUUCCAUUCCACCUCAUCGAAACGCAUGAUUAUGGAUCUGAUUCUGUUCUGCGCUGUGUAUGGAGCUACCACUUGCUAUUAUCUACAUUUCAUAUACUUAGUCCGCCACCAACUAAAGUGAUCGUGGAACAUGAGAGGAGACGCAGGAAGCUAUUCCAAUUCUCUUUGAUUGGUCCUAUGAUUAAUGCAUUUCGAUGUGAAGAGUUGGAUGUAUAUAACCUCAGGAACACAUAUAUGAAAGGAAAAGAUGAAGAAUCAUUCUUUACUCGCUCGUUCGUUCCAAUUUUCAUGUGGGGUUGUGGAACAUGCGCAGAAGGGAAAAAAGAGACAUUCAAGGAGAAGAUACAAUUCGACGACCAGAACAAAAUCGUAGCCCACGUCGGCAUCGAAGGCGAGCUGUUCAACUUUUACAAGAGCUACAAGGCCAUCUUGCAGGCCGUCCAUAAGGAUGGAGGACCCGACGUCGUCAAGGUGAUCAUCGAGUACGAGAAGCUGAACGAGAGCAUGCCCCACCCGGUCAACUAUCUCGAUGUCACGGUUAACAUGACUAAAGACAUUGAUGCUCACCUCGUCAAGGCUUAAGCCCUGCGAAAGAAGAGGAGAAGGAACUAUGACGUCUGCUUGUGUUUCGAUUAUCCAAAUAAAUAAGCUUAAGUAAAUAGGGAGU
This 41924-nucleotide long non-coding RNA is filed under the name Eucalyptus grandis. RNAcentral's name for it is "long non-coding RNA (EGRA_LNC001047)". The record is from RNAcentral. Lineage: Eukaryota; Viridiplantae; Streptophyta; Magnoliopsida; Myrtales; Myrtaceae.